GAUUGGCUAGUACAAGAGGCGGAUUCAUUUGACUGAUUUGUUUAAGCCAAGAGGGGAGUACGUGCUGAACUACAUGGUUUCCCAACAUGCUAUCAACCACCAUAAACUACUGGGAGUGUCAUCUGACAUCCAAGGUAUUUUCCCUGUCUCAUGCUGAUUGGUGGUUGCUAGGGGGUUGCUAUGGGUCUUCACCUAGCCUGACUGAGUCAGGGACACCUGCACAGCAGAUCUCUCCUGUUAUUUAUAGAAAAACAACUCAUCAGGGUGGGUGUGUGCCUAGGAGUGUUCUGUGGGUCUUUCCAAUGACAAGGGUCACGCCCCCUUCCUUGGACAGGCUUUGCUCUGAGGUAGAGGUUGGUUUUUCAAUAUAACCUGCUUGAGAAUCCUAAGUACUGUUUUUUUUUUUUUAAAUGGCUUUUAUAUAAGUCCUAUUAAAAUCUUCUAGCAACAUAAAUAUUGGUCUCUUUAAUUUGUAUCCUUAUGGAUAUGAUGACUUUUUUAUGUUGCUUUGGAAGAAAAUUGACAGAACUUUAUUAUCUCUUCUAUCUUAACAUACUUCAUAAUCCUUUACAUAUAUUUUAAAUAAUAAAAAGGUAUAAGUCUAUGGAAGAAAAAAUAUUGAUGAAAAACCACAGAUGUUCUUGGCUAAUUUUCCACUAAAUUAUCAUUGAAUUAUAUCUGUUCUCUACCCAUGUAAAUUCUCUGUUGGAAAAGAAAGUACCAAAUUAAUUUUAGAUUCAGUUAGCCAAAGAAAUUAGUUACAUUCUAAUAUGUAUAUGACCCAGGCUUCUGAAUUAUUUUUUGCACCAAUUUGUUAGCUCAUAGAGAGCAUUAUUUAUCAUCUAAGUUUGUAGGUGAAAACAAACCUUGAUGGACCCAGUAAGAUAGUUGGAAAUACUUCAAUCUAGGGAGUAUAAUUGGUUCCAAAUGAACUUAGUUUUGAGGAAUUAAAUUAGGAGAAAUAAAAUUAUAUUCAGAUACGUCAUCCUAAGAAGACUAGCCAUUUGGAAUCCUUUACCUAUAUUCUUAAUGGAAAGUACAAAGUAUAGGUAUGUCUAACUUAGAGUUAUAUCUAGAACCAACCUGAGUAUAUACGGGGGUAAACAGAUAAACACAAUCUGAUGAUGGUUAACUCAGAAUUUACAGUAGUCCCCUAAUGUUGUGGACACUGAAUAACCAAUACUGGUCCAUUGCUCUUAGGGGAAAUACAUGACUAGGUUCCUCUGAGUCUCUGUUCAUAGUGUUGUUGUCAAAUGAUCAAUAUGUAACCUUGUUUUAUGUGUGUUUCUGUUUUGUUUGUUUUGGGGUGGUGGGGAUCAAACAUAAGGCCUCACACACUCUAGACAAGUGGUCUAUCACUGAGCUAUAUCCCCAGUCCUGUCUUAUGUUUUAAAACAUCUUAAUUCACCAUGUAUUGUUGAUUCAUUAGCAUUGGCCCAUUGGCCAGCAGCACUUCAACUCCUGCAUAAAUAAUACCGAACACAUUUAUUUUCUCAAUAAAGCACAUCACAACCUCUGGUGAACACUAGGCAGCACUUCAGCUGUUUUAAGAUAUUAAAGACUAUCUAUGGGCUGGGGAUGUAGCUCAGUUGGUAGAAUGCUUGCCUCACUAGAGCCAUUAUCUGGGGGUUGCUUUAAAUAUCAAAAUCACCAACAAAAAUAUGUAAAACAUGGUUUUAAUUAGAUUAUACAAAGAAUAGUUAUUUACAGUAUAAAAACUGAAACAAGAAGGCAGAACAAUUGCUUUGUUUUCCUCACCAGUGAAUGUGUGUCUCAGAUAAUAAAAAAAUUUCUCCAUUCUGUGUAUAUCUGUAAAUGACUGCUAAAGCUCUUUCAGUAUUGACUUUAAGGUUAAAAAUAAAUUUUAUCAAUUAGGUAAAUUCACAAUAAGUCUUCUAAUAAUAAGGAUUGACUUUAUGUCAGACCAAUAGUAAUACUUUCCCUUUAAAUAUAUACUUUCUCAAAACAUUGCUGUUUGGCAUAUCAUAACACUGAGAAAGUAAGAUUUUACUGGAAAGUUGGGACUGAAUGAAGAAGGUAUAAUUUUAAAAUGAAGGGAGAGACACUACAGUUCCAAAUACACAUAAAUUUCUGAAGUCUAUGGAAGUCUAAAUUUUUUGUAACAGUGAUAUGAUUCUCAUUUUCUGUUGCUUUUGGUAAUUUUUGAUAGAUGUUUCCUUGCAAGUCAUAUAAAAACACUGUGUUGUCUUACUGCUGUAUGUCUACAGGACCAUCCUACCUCUUGGUUGAAAAAGUUACUGUGAAACAAAAAUGCAAAUAUCAACAACCUCAGAAGGAAUUUCAAGGGGGAAAUUCCAUUAAAUUUAUAAGCAAUUGUGUUCAGUUUGAAUUUCCUUAAAUGCAACACAAAUUAUGUUAGGUUUACCAUUUAGUCUUAGAGUUAGCCAUUCUGUUAUCAGUUGGAGAGUCUGUUCAAUUUGUACUAUAUGGUAAUUCCAGGAACUAAAGUACAACAUCUUGAAGAAAAUAAAAUGGCUCCAGGAGAAGACAAAAACUCCCAAACUUCUUAAAUUUGUGUUCUGAAUGAAUUUGAAUCCUGCUAAGUCAUUUAACUCUCUCAGCUUUGUUCUCAAGAGAUUCACAGAGUGUUUUAUAACCUCUUAGCAAAUUAUAAUUCUACAUCUCUCUCAAAUUACAGAGUCAUCCAUUUUCAUUGUUCUUUAAAAUCUAUCCUGCUGGGUGUUGUCUCUAAGUACUUAAUAUCUUUUAGGCAUAACCAAUCUACUAUCAAGCAUAAUUGUAUUCUUCCCUGUUCUGAAGAAAAACCCAAUACCUUUCACAACAUUGACUCAUGUAUCAUCAACUAAUAUUAAUCAUUGACUGUAUCCCAGACACUAUGUUAGGCCAAAGAUCAUGGUUGUCUUUUUUACCUUAAGGGAAAGAAUCAAAAUUCAAACAUGGACACAAAGCUUCUGCAGUUUAUAAUUCACCAAGGUUUAUCAUCUGUGAAAGCAAGUGACAAUAAUAUAUUGAUAUUAACUAUAUAUUGAAUUAAAAAUUGGCUUAAAAAUGGAUUCAGAUCCAAUCUGCCUAUAUUUUCUCUAAAGAGAAGAAGCUGUGUGAUCCCAGCUCUGAGAUCAACUAUACUUUCUUGGGUCAGGCACUUACUCUCUUUUUUUGAGUCUCUAUUUGUAACAUGUAGGUGUUGAGUUAGAGGAAAUAUGGUAAGAUUUUAUUAGUUUUUAGGGACUGGAUUUUAUACUGGAUUAAAUAUAUCAUGAAACUGGCAAAUAGAGAUACUCCAAAGACCAAUGGUCAUCAAGAGUUUAGGACUCCAGGAGCCAAGCACAGUGGUGCACAACAGUAUUCCCAGUGUUUCAGGAGGCUGAGGCAGAAGGAUCCCACGUUCAAGGCCAGUUUAUGCAACUUGGCAAGAACCUGUCUCAAAAUAAAAAAGUUAAAUGGCUAGAGGAAUAUGGCUCAGUGGUAGCAUGCCCCUGGGCUCAAUCUACAGUACCAGAAAAAAAAUAGGACUUUAAAAACCUCAAUAUCUAUUUGAAAGACUUUAUUAUGAAAUUCUUAGAUAAAGAGAUAUAAAAAAUACUUAGUAUAUGCCCCAUAUUAUUCCUAAGGAAUUGGAACAUUAUCCCCUUUAGUCAUCACAAAAUUGAGUUCUAUUAUUAUCACACUCAACCCCCCCUUUUAAGUGAUGGAAAGCAACACUUGAAGAGAUUAGGUAAUUUUCCCAAGGUCGCACAUCUAUCAGUUGCCAGAGUUAGUACUUAACCCAGGGCUAGUUGAUUCCAAAGCCUAAAUUCUUCCUCUGUAUGCAACACCAUAUUCCAAAGAAAACUUUAGAUUAAAGUUUAACAUAUUUAUCCUCUGAGGAUAUUUGUACUCAAGGGUCAAGGAGAUGCUUGAGGAUGCAAGUGAUUUAUUUAGUUUGAUGAAGUGUUCACACUGGUAGAUUUUUCUUGUUUCUAAAUUUCAACUAACUUUCAUUAUCUUCUUCUUUUAUUUUUUUUAAACUCUUCUCUACUUAGCAAAUUUUCUGUACUGAGCAUGUAUUAUUUUAAAAUGGGAAAAUAUGACAAAUCUAUUUUUAGAAAAAAAUUACUAUCUCAGAUGGCCAUUGUUCUCUUUGUGAGAUAGGUACUGCCCUGAUUUUGCCAAAAUAUCAAAGAGGCAACAAUCUAGAACUGUUUGUCCAGGUAAAGGCCCCCUGAAAGAUGUUUGGAAUAUGUUGUUGAAAGAAGGAAACCCAGGGGGCAAAUCAAGCCUGCAGGUAAAGAUAAGGAGUGUGCAAUCAAAGCUGACUUUAGAAGACCUAUUUUUGGAAGAUUUCAUAAUUCUUAAAACUGAGUGAAGAGUAUUUUAUUAAGAAUAAUAACAAAACCAGCAUGACAGGAGCUUGGAGAGACUUCUGGAAUGUUAAGACCUUUCAGAAAAUUAGAUGGUAUAACCUGUACUGUAGCCAUUAUAAUUUACGUCAUACUGGCUGUUGCAAUGUGAUAUCUUGGGCUCCCUCACAAGGUCGCAAGUGGUAAGGAACUAUUUAUACCUUAAUAGGGUGCUUCAUCUUAUGUGCAGUUUGGUUAGGCCAGGAAAAAGGAGAAAGAAGUCUAAAUGUUCCUCCACACUCCUUCUAGGCCCUUCCUAGAAACUAGAAAUGACCUCAGUUCUCCCUGGGGCUGGAAUCAUCAUUAGUUUCUAGAACCAGUUUCCAGUUCAAUGGUCCACAUUUUUGAUCAUUGCCAAUUCUCUGGUUAUCUUUUCUCUCCUCAGUUUCUUCUUCAGCCCUAGUCUUGUCUUGCUCCUCAUACUCCCUUCAUCUGACAAGCAGGGGUUGUGGGGUCGAGCUGCCACCUGUGACUUUAUCUUAUCACCACCCACAGGGGCUCAGAAGAAAGUAGAAGUAUCAGUUGAUGUUUAGAGCUGCCCUCUGCUGGUUGUUGAUGACUCAAUCUCAAAAUUAAAGUCUGGAAAGAGUUUCUCUAUUGGUUUAAUAAAGAGUUAAGGUGGAGACACUAGCAGACAGGAAAAAAAAAGCAAGACAUAACAUGUUUCAUUUAAAUUCUGCUGAACUGUGCUUGGCUUACUGUGGCUUGCAGUGAAGCAGUAGGUUUCAAUCGGGCAAGGAAUGCCUCCCAAGGAACAUUUGGCAAUGUUCAGAGACAUUUUUGGUUAACUGAUAACUGGGGCUGGCUUGGGGGGAUUAUUCCUAGCACCUGGUGGGUAGAGGCAAGGGAUGCUGCUUAACAUCCUGCUGUGCAUAAGAGUCUUCCACCCUAGAAAAAGAAAUAUCCAGCUCCAGUGUAGUGGGCCUGACUCAAAGAGCCUAAUAUAGCUGAAAUUAGACUAACAAAAAUUUGAAGUUUUAGCCAGGCCCAGUGGCCUGCACUUUAGUCGCAGGUACGAGGGAGGCUAAGGAAGGAGAAUUAUUUGAGCCCAGGAGUUUGAAGCCAACCUAGACAAGAGUGAGACCUCACUCUCAAAUAAAAUGAAAAGGAAAAAAAAGUUGGUGUUUGAAAUGAUUAGAGAUUAGGCCAGUGGCAUACGCCUAUAAUCCCAGCAGCUCAGGAGACUGAGACAGGAGGAUCCUGAGUUCAAAGCCAGCCUCAGCAAAAGCGAGUUGCUAAGCAACUCAGUGAGACAUUGUCUCUAAAUAAAAUACAAAAUAGGGCUGGGGUUGUGGCUCAGACUGAGUGCCCCUGAGUUCAAUCCUCGGUACUCCCCCCAAUAUAUAUAUAUAUAUAUAUAUUCAACAUCAUUAGCAAUUAGGGAAAUACAAAUCAAAACUACAUUGAGAUUUUAUCUGACACCAGUUAGAAUGGCAAUCAUCAAGAAUACAAAUAAUAAUAAAUGCUGGAGAGGAUGUGAAGAAAAAGGAACACUUUUACAUUGUUGGUGGGACUGGAAAUAAGUCAAACUCAGGUCAAGGGUCAUAUGAUUUCUCUCAUAUGUGGAAGCUAGAGAGGAACAAAGAAAAGAAACAUAGGGAUGGAUCUCCUAAAAAUCAAAGGGAGAUCAGCAGAGGAAAGGGACCAAGGGGUAGGAAGAAGGGAGGGAGGGGGAAAGUGCUGGGGAAUGAUAUUAGCCAAAUUAUUAUUAAAUUGUAUGUAUGUAUGUAUGAUAUAGAACAACAAAUCCCAUCAUUAUGUACAAUUAUAAUGCACCAAUUAAAAAUGUAGGAAAAAAAAGAAAAAGUCUUUUACGUCUUCCUAGGUGUCUUUAAGAUUCAGGCAAGUUGAGAACAACUGAGGUGGCCCAAACCCUCAUUUUUCAAUUGAGGAAUCAGCCUUGGAGGAUAUGGUUUUGCAGUUACAAAGUGGCAGAGCUGGGAGUAACAUGUGAUCUCUUGAGUAAAAUAGGUGGUUCUUGUCUGAUUGUGCACCACACUUACAAAGGAAAACUAUAAAAGGAAGCCUAUAAAAAUAUCUUUUAGAACUCUAAAGUUCUAUAUUCUAUCUUUAAAUAUAACUUUCAACAUUUUUCCCUAAAAUAAUGACACUUGUAGAAAAUUCAAGUUGAAACAAACACAAAUUAAGAUCAUGAGAUACUACCACAUACUAAAUAUACCAUAGUAUAUAUUAUACUUUUAGUAUAUCUAAAAAAAUAAAACACACAAAUAAAUCUGACAAUACUAAGUGAUGAUUAAGAUGCAGAAAACUGGAAAUCUCAUAAAUUACUAAUGAAAAUGGAAUAUAGCACAGCCAUUGAAAAACAAUUUGUCAAUUUCAAACAAAAUGAAACAUACAACUUAACAAUGUGAACUGGGAGUGCUACUGCUGGAUAUUGUCAAGGAAACUUAAAGUGUAUAUUCACAUGAAACCUGAUAUGCACAUGUUUUAAUGUCUGAAUUCAUAAUAAAAAAAUGAGAACAAUGCAAAUGUCCUUGGACUGGUGAAUGGAUUAAAAACUGUGGAAACAGCCAAACAAUGGAACACUACUCAGUAAUAAAAUUGAAUAAACCACUAAUACCCAUAAGAUGAAUGAAUCUGAAAUGGAUUAUGCUAAGUGAAAGAAGCCAGCCUCAAAAGGCUAUAUAUACUGUAUUAUUCCAUUUACAUGAAAUCUGGGAAAGCAAAAGGAUAAGAGAAAAUCAGAUUAGUGGUUUGGGGGAUUGGAAGUGAGUACAAAGAAGUAGCAUGAGGAAAGUUCGUGUGGUGAUGCAACUGGUUUGCGUGUUGAUUUUGGAGGUAGUCACGUGACUAUGUAACAACAAAUAAAGGAGUUUUAUUAUGUGUAAGUUUUAGAAGUGACUAAAAAUACAGAAAAACUCAAAAUAUAUUUGAAAAAACAAGGAACCCCACUUACAUGCUGAGGAUGCAAGGUUGCUGACGAACUUGUUGAGAGCCAUCUGCAGGAGAGAGUAGACAGGUGAAUUUGCCUUGGGUUGAACUAGAGGAGCUAUUCCUGUGAGUAAGGGAGGGACCGAGGGAUGGUCCCCAGCAGCUUCCAAAGCUCCUUUUGCUUCAUAGAACUCCCACCUUCUCUCCCCGAAUGAUACUAUUGCUCCAUCAUGGUCCACUUUGAGAAAAAAGAACUGAACUUAGUGAAGUCAAGACAUCCUUGAGCAUCUGGUAAGUCUUCUGGUGUGUAAGUCAAGAUCCCUGAUUCUACACAUCUGGUUUCUCUGUGGGAACAUCUGUGGCAUCACUGGUGUAGGAGUCAUGGUUAAAUGGGACUUGAGAACCUAGGGAUAUUUACUCCCUUCUGGUUUGUUUUAGAUUCUCAUCUGUUGGCCUUGGAUUUGGGAAUUCCCUCUGGUUAUCUGUGUUUUUGUUUUGUUUGUAUCUGUUAGUGCUCUUUUUAAGACAUGGCCAAUACUGAAUUGAUCUUAUAGGUAGUCUCUUGAGAAAGGUCUUGGCUGGUCAAUUUAAAUGUCCCUCUGUUGGUCAUGGUUUUGGUGAUGCUCUCUGGUUGUCUGUUUUUUUUCCUUUUCUUUUUUUGUAGACUCGUACAACUGGAGUUGGUCUGUCAGAUGUAAAGUAAGAGGAAGAAAUUUCUACAUGUAAGUCUAUCUGUUUUAAAAGUUUCUGUCUGUCAUCCCUGGUUUUGGUGAUCCUCUUUUGUCUUUUUUUUUUUUUUUUUUAUCACUGGCCCUUUAAAACAUGGGCCAUGCUGUGUUGAUCUUACUGUUAGUCUCUUGAGCAGAGAGAUUUUGGCUGAAUGGGCAAUCUAUAAGGAUAAGCCUAAGAGAAAGAUGGUUUACUGUAACACAAUCUUGCCUUUGAAUGGUUUUACUAGGUCAUUAUACAAUUUUGAAGUUGAAAUUUGUCUUUUGACUUUGAAAUUGGUCUGUCAGGGGUAAAGUAUAUGAAAGAGAUUCUGUAUGUACAGGCAUUUAUGCAGUUGCAUGAUAACAGGUUUGAACAGUCAGAAAUUAAGCUGAAGGAGACAAAAGGCACUGCCUCUUGUGUGCAAGGAUAGCAGGACAUCAGAAAAAGUGUUAAAACAGAUUUCAAUCUUUUAAACCCAGCGCUGGCACUCCCAGCACUGUUUCUCAGCCUGGCUUCAGGCAGCUGCAGAUGAUCUCACUGUGAGUCAAGUACACCAGCCCUAAACUGGGGGGAAAAAUCUCAGAAAAUCUGCCUGGGCUGUAGAAAAAUGGCCAAAGAGAACCUGGCCUAUGCCCUGCUUUCGAGACCCUUUUGCUGCUGUUUAAAAAAAAAAAAAUCACUAGAUAUUUUAAUUCAUUCUUCAAUCAUUUUAGGAAAUUGUCUUUUUCUUUCUUUCUUUUCUUUUUUUUUUUAAACUGGGGAUUGAACCCAGGGGUGCUUACCCACUGAACAACAUCCCCAAUCCAUUUUUUAAAAAAUUUAUUUAGGGACAGGGUCUCACUAAGUUGCUUAGGGACUCCUUAAGUUGCUGAGUCUGGCUUUGAACUCACAAUCCUCUUGCUCAGCCUCUGGAGCCCCUGGGAUUACAGGUGUGCGCCACUGUGCUCACUCAGAAAAUUUCUUAUAUUAUGUUUCUAAACAUUUAUUUAUAUUCCAUCAAUUUUUCCCAGGGUACCAGUAUUAUUUUUUUUAAAGUACAACGUUCAUGUUUUUUAUUUACUGACAAACUAAAAUCCCAUUUCCAGAUGUCUCUUUCUUGUGUAUGUUUUAUUUGUAUUAUUUAAAAGCAACUCCCCACCCUAGAAAUGUCACCUAGUCCUCAGACUCUGAUGUGUCUUCAUGUUGACUAAUAUGGAAGUAAUAAAGUUUAUAAGUCUUCUCAUCAGAUCCAAUGACACAAAAACAAAGAGUAUUCUAAUUAAGGCAUUUCUUGGCACGAUAUUUCAAAGACAUUCUCAGAAACAAUUCCUCAGAAAUGAAUGUGAUUUUAUUCUUGAAAUAUUCAAUUUGUACAACAUUCCUGAGAUUUCCAGUUUUUCCAUUGACUUUAACCUUUUCUAUAGGUACUUUUCCUAUUUUAAAACAGAAAAUAUGGGAAAUUUGGGAAGAAAACCAUAUUUACUAGAAAAAGCAACAAAAAUUUUAUAUUCUAUUGGAUGUGUAAAGUCUGAAUUAAACUCCAGGUUGAUUCUUAGCCUUGCCAACUUUUGAUGCCAUUUUGAGAGCCAGCUGUGUACUCAGUGAGCUCACUUAUUUUUAUACAAGAUUGUCUAUAUUUUUCUCUUUAUCAAUUAUCUUUCUUCUUAACUGGUUUAACUUAUCUUUUUUUGGUGCAUUAACUGAUUAUCUCCUACAUUUUCCACCAUGGCAUCAAUUCAAAUUAUAAUUGUUCUUACUUUUAGUAGACUAGAUUAUCUGCCCUCACUCCACCUCUGCUAAGUGCUGCUUUCUCUCCACUCUUUUGCAAACCAAUAGUACAUAUAUAGGUCUAGGGAGGAAGUGAUCUGGGCCAGAAUAAGUGCAGUCUUUAGUUUGGCUCAGCUGUGCCUGCUCAGAUGUUCAUGGAAACUACCACUUCCAAGGGCUUUUACUCAUUCUUCUAACUCAGCACAAUAUCCUGGAAAAUGACAGGUCUUUCUGUGUCUGUAAAACCUGACUUAGACUUUCUCCUGACUUUGUUACCCAUCUCUCACUUCAUUUACAAAAUAAGGAUAAUUAAUGAUAGUGUUAUUGUCUUACUUUUCCUUGGUGGCAUGCUUCUGGGUUUUCCUUCAUUAGCAGCCAUGUUUAGAAGUUCAUGACAUAAGAUUAAUCUUUGCCAUGUUUGGUUAUAUAUUUGGUAAACUUUGGGAUUUUCUAUUUUUGUUUAUUACAAUAACAUUGUUAUGCAGAAUUUGUGGGACCCCAAUAGACCUCCAGGAGCCAAAUCCAAUGCAAGCACAUAAGAGUCUUUAGCUUAAGCCCAGACUCACAACUGUUUCCAGGUCACGGUCCUUUGUUCAGUGAGAUUUUAUAGGUUUUUUGGGAUACUCUGUGUCACAACAUCACACACAAAUCAUUUCACACAUCGGGAAAAUCAAACAACAACUGUUAACAUUGAUUAGCACUUUCACUGACUAGAACAAGUCAGGUAAGGGUGAUUGGUUAGUUCAAGUGGUGGAUAUAUUUGAACUGAUUGGUUUAAGCCAUGAGGGGUGUAUGUACUAAACUACAUGAUUUCCUAACAUGUUAUCAGUCACUGAGACUACUGGGAGGGUCACCUGGUAUUCCAGGUAUUUUCCCUGUCUCAUGCUGAUUAGUAGUUGCUAGGGGGUUGCUAUGAGUCAUCACAUGGUCAGGCCUUAGGCCUUAAAUAUUCUUUGGUCUUUUCAGGAACUAGCAUAACUGAGUCAGGUACACCUGGAGCCACAGAUCUCUCCGGUUACUUACAGACAAACAACUCAGCAGGGUGGAGCACUCUGUGGGUUUUUCCAAGGACAAGGGUCAUUCCUCGCUCCUUGGACAGGCUUUGUUCUGAGGUAGAGGCUGGUUUCUCAAAAAUGGAGUCACAUCAGUUUCUCAACAUCAAGAGUGAAGAUUCUGAAUUUCUCUUUUGUACCACCUUUGCCCAGAAGUUUGUCUGCACCACCACUAAAUACCUGAAUUCAGUUUUUUUCAUUAAUAAAAAUAGGAGUAAACCCCUUAAUUAAAAGGUAAAAGAUUAAAUGAGACCUUCUAAGGGAAAUUCUGGCUUCCUCUCUAAAUUAUUGUAGGCUUAGGAACCUGGGGAUGGCUUCCUCUACAGAAUUCUGUCAUUCAUUUUUCUGAUUUCAAGGGCUUAGAGAUUUGUUGUUAAUCAGUAGUAUGUUCCAGAUGUUAGCAAACUUUUCUAUAGUGGGCCACAUAGUAAACUUUUUAGACUUCAAAAGCCUUACAGUCUCUGUUGUAACUACUUUACUCUGUUGUUGUAUGACAACAUUCACAUGUAAAUGAAUGAGUAUAGUUGUUUCAAUAAAACUAUAGUCAUUGAAACUUCAAUUUCAUUUAAUUUUCAUAUGUCACAAAAUAUUCUUUUUUUGGCCUUUAUCAAUCACUUAAAAAGGGUAAAGCAAAAUUUCUAGUUGCUCUGUGAGUUGGGAUUUAAGUGAUGGCAAUACUGCUGCUCAGUUUUGUGAGUGAAAGAGAGAAUUCAUGGAAAUUCAAAAUUGGACAGUCAGAGACUCUUAGAAAUUUGGGUGCAUUGAACAAAGUUUUAGAAAGAGUACAUCAGAGCCAAGCUGGUGGUGGCAGCAGCAGCAGUGCUCAUUCACUGCAAAGUGAAGGAAAGACAGAGAAAUACAGUGGACUAAUUUGACAUAGAAAAACCUGAAGAACUUGUAAAGAAUGGUGGAAAAGCUCCAUAAACUCAACAAGCCAAAAUAACCAUUUACCUGUCCAAGAUUUUAUUAGCAGAACCGUAGCAGCCAGUCACAGAAGAGAAGGGAGGGGGAGGGAGGGAGGGAGAGAGAGAGAGAGGGAAAGAAGAGGGGGAGAGUAAGAGGGAGAGGGAGAAUAAGAGAGUAAGAGUAAGAGAGUAAGCAUGAACAGGGUGUUGAUAUUUAUGGGCUUAACACAGGAUGAGGAGGAGCAAGGUGAGUGGGCUGCUACUUCUUCAUUGGCUGAGAGUUCGUGCCACUUCAGGGAUUGGAGGUGUGCAAUUCAAAGUUCACACCAUUCACAGGGAUUGAAGGUGAUGGUUUGCGCACCAUUCAGUGCAUCAUGGACCUGAGCUCCUGGAAGAGAAGCGCUCCGGUCUCCAUCUUUACCAACAGAACUGAAAAGUAGUUUGAACUUAACUAGAGGCAGCAGAGUGAGCUGGUAUUUGAGAAAUGAUAUGUGUUUCUCAACUGACAAGUGGAGAACUGAGUAGGGAUCCAUCUUGAAUCAGGCCAUGCUGCAGCUUGCAUCUGCAAAGCUAGAAGAUCAUAGCAAACAUUGUCAUACUAACCUAGCAACUGCCUAUCACAUGGCCUAGGGUGUGCCUAGCAGAAUAUGAAUUCAAUAGGCCCAGAGAAGAUUGUAUCCCAGGACACUCAAGUGAGAGAUAGGAAGGGAAGUAAAAUUUGUUUUCCCUUUGAUUCUGGUGGCUCAUGUGACAGAUAAAGAGGGCCUGGAAACUGAGAAGUGGGUGUGAUUUCAUUCAGGGAGUGAACCUGGGAAGGCAAAGUUCAUGGGUGGUGGAAUGUGUGAGACCUGUGGAGGGUUGACUCCUGUGCCUUACUAGUAGAAUUCUUGGGAGGUCCCUGAGAUCCAGAUGGUCAGCAGAGAUCAGCAUCUGCCUAGCCCCAGGAGUAUGUUGAUCUAAUCUUUCUAGAGCAGAUACUACUCAACAAAGUCCCAAAGGCCUGAUUAGAGGUAAAUUUCAGUUGCUGGUACUUCCAAUUUACAACUCUGUAGCAGCCCCAAACUGGGAACACAUUGAUAUGUUCUGUCUGCACAGAAUACCAAUUCAUAUUACUUCUCAUUCCAUCUGACCUUGUACUGGUGAGAAGGAAAAGUGAAAGCUGAUUCAACUAGCUUCAGUUUCAAGUCACCACGGCUGGCAGUGCAGUGAGCAACGUGGUAAAAAGAUGAGUUUAAUAACCCUCUGUCUUUGCUCUCUCCAAGGGGUACAUAGCUCAAGAAGAAACAGAAAUAAGGGCACUCUGGCAUAGAAUGGAAACAUCUGUCCUUGUUGACAGUUUUGAUCACCAAAAUGGAGACAGUCUUUUCUUUUUAAUUAACUCCCCACCUCUAUUUUGGGGUUUUUAUUAGUUCAUGAAAACAUGUAUGUACAAACAUAUAUAUUUCCUUUUUGUUCAUUUAAAAAGUUUAUUAUUUUUCUUUGUUCUUUCAUUUGAAGGUUAGUGUUUUUUGUUUCUCUUUUUUCUUCUCCCUCUUAUAGUCAACUUUGUACCCUUUCUCUCUCUCUCUCUCUCUCUCUCUCUCUCUCUCUCUCUCUCUCUCUUUCCCUCCCUCCCUCCCUCCCUCUCUUUUUGAGGAAAAACGGAAAAAUAAGUUUUAUUACUUUGCUAGCAAAGGAGAAACACAGAGGACUCCCGUCCCAGAGGCUGUGAUUCUGUCCAUCAGCAGGAACAAGGGGUUUUUAAAGAGGUAAUUCAAAGGCCACAUUCCAUGUGUUCUCUGAUGGAGUUGUAAUUUACUUGUUAAUUUGGGAGAUAGUCAUUUUUGAUACCUCUGUUACUAUCCCGAAAGUCUGGAUUACUUGGUUCCCAUGGUGGGUAUUACUCAAGGACAGAUAACUCUGCCUAGGAUGGGGAAGAAAGGUAAUCUUGUUUCACCUGGCAUUAGGAGGAACAGGGAGAGAGGAAGAGAAAGAAACAUGUCCAUUUUAAAACUAAGUUGCAGUGGCAGAGCAGCAAGGGCUAUAUUCAAAGCAUAAAGUGAACCACUGUUACAUUUCCCCACUGUCAAUUUCUACAUUCUAUGAAAAAUUGGGCAACGAUAUCUUCAAGACGCUUCCUGCUGAAAGAGGGUGAAUUUGGGGGGAAGUAUCCCAAAGUCCCUAUUCUCUAUCAGGUGGGGCAUGGACAGUUAAGGAUAUUCAGCAUAAGAGCAGUUCAGGGGUCCACAGUUGCAGAUAGCAGGUGACUAGACAGGACAUACAUAGGGCAGGGAUCAGGUUAAGUAAAAAAUAAACAGAACAGUGAAGCAUUACUUUUUUUUUUUAUAAACUAUGAGCACAAAAGCAAGUCUCUGAAAACCAUGAACCCAGUAAAUAAUAAUCUUAUCAGUGAAAAGCAGAUCAAGUUUAUCAAUGUAGGAGGUUAGGAAGAUUUGUAGAGAGAUCAGUCUCAAAUUAACUCAGGACAAACUUGUGACUCUAGACCAUCUUUUGUGACCAUCAUUAUUAGGUACUCCUACACAAAAACCUUUCCUUUAUAUUCUUCAGCUUUACUUACUUUUGGUAGGGCUGACACAAGUGUUCAUCUUAAGUUACUUUAAAAGAAACAUUGUCUUUCCUUUUAAAUGUCCAGGUAGAACUGGGUUUAGGCUAUAUUCUCCUGCGAGGUGUUUAAGACCAGGUUGGUCAAAACUGACCUUCCUCCUAUCUACUCCUAAGGGUCAGCUGAGAUUCCUCAGAGGUCACUCUUAGGAAAGUGUGCAAAGCCUCUUGGCUCCCUUAGCUUUCCUCUACUAGUAGUGCCAUUUGCCAGGAUGGGUCAGAGUCUUGAUGAACACAUGUGGCUUCUCUUGGAAGCAUCAAGGACAUUUCUGUCUCCAGUGAUUCUCUUCCUUUUUGCAGAAUGUGUGCUGGCUUCCUGUUCUCUACAAUCCUCUGAUCCUCUUUUUCAAAUGACAUGAAUAAAUAGCAACCAAAUUUGUUAUUUCUAUACAAUUCCAAGACUAUUUCUACAGAGAAUUUUAGUUUUGAGGACACCAACUUGGUGAACUGCUUUCCUCUGAGCUUUACAUUUAAUUAAAUUUAACUUUUAAAGAACAAUUUAGAACCCAGAGAUUAUGGAAAUGAUAAAUACAGUUUGUCAUGUAUUAGCAAUACUAGCAAAAAUCAAAUAAUAUUCUUAAAUCUCUUAUACAUUUAGGAAAGAGUGUUAAUGAUCAGAAAUUGGCUUUGUCAAAGCAAGGCAGGUCUUCAAGUGACAAUGUUGCCCUUCUAUGUCAGAUACAAUGUAAAAAGGAGAGCACUUAUUUGUUACCUUGCCAGUAAACUAGAUAAACUUUCAUUUUAUAAGCUUUUACAUAACUCUUAGGCUCAGGUAGAUAUAAUUCUCAGAUGUAUACUUACAUCUAGUCACAUAUCUUCAGGGUGUCAACUAUAGUCAUAACCUAAAAUAAUCAUCUAUCUAAUCAGUUAUAAAGUAAUUGUUGAAAAGACUUUAAAACAAGUAUGAACCCUAAUUCCUAUAUGACUUAGUUUUCCUAAAUAAUAAAACAUAAUAGAUACAAGAAAAUUUUCUUUUCUUUUUUUUUAGAGAGAGAGACAGAGAGAGAGAGAGAGAGAGAGAGAGAGAGAGAGAGAGAGAGAGAAUUUUUAAUAUUUAUUUUUUAGUUUUCGGUGGACACAACAUCUUUGUUUGUAUAUGGUGCUGAGGAUCGAACCCGGGCCGCAUGCAUGCCAGGCGAGCAUGCUACUGCUUGAGCCACAUCCCCAGCCCAAGAAAAUUUUCUUGAUAGAUAAUAGCAUAUCGAUAUUUCAGACUUUUUCUCAUAUUCACACAUUAAAGUCCAAAUAACUUUGUUCUAAUUAUAACCAAUUUAAUCACAAACACAAACUUUUUGAGAUUUACCUGCCACAAACCUUCUGCAACUUACUUAGACAUUCACAACUUGGUUAUAUCCUUAGUUUUGUCCUCCCUUUCAUUUUGAACAUUAGCACAAAAAUAUUACUUUAUCAGACAAAAUACUUACUUGUCCAGAAACAUUUCUUUUACCUUUUAAUUUUCUGUACUAAAAUAUAUUUCCAUACCUAUAACUUUUAUCUUUUUGAGUUUUGGACCCUUUUUAAAAUUUAUAUACUGAAACAAUUCUUAUGAAUGUUAUCUGUGCAUUUAAUUUACAUGACAAAUUUUAUCCCAGGAGAGGAUUGAACAAUCCAGCAAAUACAAAAACUUUGCCUUAAUUUUUUUUCUCUCAGGUUGCAUUACAGGGGUAGGAUUACAGGAAAUUUUUGAGCCUGAUCUGUCUCUCUUAUCAUUCUCACAAUGCCAUCAACUGUAAGUGAGUUCUCUACUGUCAAGAGUAACACAAAAUUGGCUAUAUAAUUUAUUGACAGCAGGUUACUGGGGCUCUUCUGGGGCUGGUAGAAGCCUUCAAAAAGGCCUGGAGACCUGGACCUCAUCACUUGUCAUCUGAGCCUUGGAUUCAGGAGACAAUUUCUUUUUCAGGGGGAGAUCUGGUACUUGGACAAUUCUUCACAUCCUUGGACAAUCUUUUUUCCAAUGUUGUUCCUCCUUACAGUAGGCUCAUGGGACUUGCCUUAAUGAAGGAUGCCCAUUCCUAUCCCUUCUUUUGAAUUUUCUUAAGGCUCCCUUUGUGGAGGUUACCAAGAAAACACAUGCUGAUUUUAUUUUUCUGUUUCUCUUGGGCAUUGUAUACUUAAAGGCAAUAUAGUCAACUGUGAGAGAUUUAUACCAAUUUCCCCUUCUAUCCACUAAAGUUUCCUCCUUAUGUCUGGGGCACUUUGCCCAAUGAAAGUCAUUUUGACCAUGCAAAGAUUUUCAGGGGCUUCUGGAUCUGCAUCUGUGUAUUUCCUGUUUGCCUGACAAACUCAUUCUAAAAAUUCUGACAGGUACUCAUUGAUCUUUUGCUGUAACUGCUGAAUGUUAUUUAAAACUUUUUCCUUGGAUACUCCCCUCCUGAGUCCCACCAAAAUACAUUUCCCAUAAUGUUUAAUCAUUUCACUGUCUGCCACCGCAUUUGAGUCCCAGUUGGGCUCCCUCAUAGGAAUAGCUUUUGCUGGUGCAGGGAUGUGACUGGGAUCCUCAUAAUGGAGCCUCUGAACUUCUUGCCUUGCCUUAUCUAUCACUACUCAGUAUUCAUCAGCUGUGAGUAACAUGUUAACCAGAGUUUGUAUGUUUGUCCAGGUGGAGUAGUGAGUGGCAAAAAUGAUAGUAAACAACUCAUCCAUUUUCUGUGUGUCUUCUAAAUAGGUUGGGUUUGAAUUUUUCCAAUUCAUCAAGUCAGAAGUUAAGGAGGAACUAUAAGCCCAAUAAUACUCUGCUGGCUUCCCCUGUGCAUUUGUGCAGAUAGGGUAUAACCUUAGGGGGAAUUAUUGACCUGCCCCAGCAACAGGUGCUCCCCAGCCAAAAGGAGUUCCCUGGAAGGUUUUAGAUGAGGAGGUUAUCCCUGACCCUGAGUCAUAGCCUUGUGAUGCCCAUAGUGGGAGCCCAUUUUGCUCCACCUCCCCUUCAUGUGAAUGGCUCCCUAUAAGACUAAGAGAGCUAGUGGGAGCCAGAGGUGAAUUAGGAUUGAAGGGGUUUCUUAUAGUUAAGUUUAUCAAAUCCUCCUCAACUUUCUCUACCAACUGUCUCUAUGAGAGGCCAUGCCUUUCUCUGAACCAUCAACUCAGUCCCUGGAUGUUCAGACUCCUUAUUAUGUAGCAAUAUAAAUGCCUGCACAUAUGGGAUUUCUUCCCAUUUUCCUGACCUCUUGCACAAUUACUCCAACUGCAAGAGUGUAUGGUAAUUCAGAGUAUAAGACAAUGGCUACCUUUCUUCCCCUUCCAGAACACUCAUCAGUCAGACUGUGUUACAGUAAAACACCAUCUUUUUCUUAGUCAUAGGUUUAGACCUUUACUUGGCCCAGUCAGCCAGGAUAUUUCCAAGAGACCAUGGGUGGAAAUUGAUGCAAUUUUGCUCAUGUUUUAAAGGGGCCAGUAGCAGAUACAAACAACAACACAAAGAAUCAGAGGGAAUUCCCAAAUCUAGCCUGACAGAUGAAAACCUAGAGCAGAUCAGAAGGGAGUAAAAUCCCUAAGUUUCAGAGUCCUGUUUAACUAAGAAUCCUAUAACAAAUUAUGCCACAGAUAUUAUCACAAAGAGGGACCAGAUGUUCCCACAAAGAGGAACCAGAUGUGUGGAAUCAAGGGUCUUGGUUUGCACACAGCGUGACUUAGCAGCUGGCCAAGGGUGUGUUGAAACUUUAUGGAGUUCAGUUUCCUUUUUGUCAAAGUAGAGCAACUGAUGAAGCAGAUUCUGCAGUUCAUGGAGGGAAGGUGGGAGUUCCCUGAAGCAAAAGGAGCUUUGGCAGCUGCUAGGACAGUUCCUUAGUCCCUCCCUUUACUCACAGGAAUAGCUCCUCUGGUUCAGUCUGAGGUAAACUCACAUGGUCUUUCUCCAGUGGUCAGCUCUCAACAAAUUCACCAGCUACCUUGUAUUCUCAGCAUGGAAGUGUGAGCAGUCACUUGGAGUGCUAAAUCUGUCCAAGAAAACUGGAGCUGGGGCUGCUUUCAGGUCAUGCCAAGGUCACUAAUUUGUUACUGAAAGUUUGGUCCUCAUCCCCAAUGCCAACCCAAUAACAGAGACAAGUUUUUGAGGAAAAGGAAAAAGGUUUAUUACUUUGCUAGCAAAGGAGAAGCACAGGGGACUCUUGUCCCAGAGCUAUAUAUAAUUCUCUCAACUUCUUUUGUCCUAUUUAUUUUAUUUAUUUUUUUCUCCUACUUCUUUAUAGCUGUCAUUUGCUACAUCUCUUCUGCUUCCUCUCUGUUCACAUUUUUAACAUUCUAAACAUUUUCUUAGUCAUAGGUUUAUAUCUAUACUUGGUAUAAGUAUAGAUAUCACAUUCCUAUCACAUUUCUUUUCUCUUAAUGAACUGUAUUCUUAUCAACUUUUAGGACUAUUUGACUUAUAUAAUUCCUGCCCCCACCACUCAUCUUGUGAUUAUUAUUACUGUGAAUGGUGCAGUUGACACCUGUGAUUUACUUUAAUACAUGAUCUAGUUCACAGCUAUUUGUCAUUGUUACUGUUUUCAAUUGCUGAUCCUGUCAUUCAUAUUUUUGUGGCAACUAGUGUUGUAGAUGUCAGAGUAGGCAUUAAGUAUUUGUUUUAAUGCUGUAUAUUGUUCAUGCUCUUGUUGCAGUUGUUUGUUUUCCCCCUUUCUGUGAGGAGCUGGGAAUGUACUAGUACACUAAAAGUUCACUGGGUAGCUGAGCAACACCAAAAUCCCAGUCAAGAGAAAGUGACCUUGUUUUACACACAAAAUAACCAAGCUCAAUCUCCAUUAGUACUUUAAUACAAAGAAUAAGGGUGAGAAAACCCCCCAACCAAUGACUAGGCCACUAGCAGAAAUGACUUGAGUGGAGGGAGUCAGGUCCAACUCAUGGACAUACACUCCUAAAGCAAAAACAGAGAGAAUUAACACAAAGACUGUGAAAACCAUCUCACUGAGAUUCUCCAACUAGAUCACUCUUAUACCUUUCUAUAAUAUACAGAGUUACAUGAAGAAGAGCAAUCACAGAGGGUGUAACCCACAAAUCCUACCAUAUGUGACACAAUUGACAGAUCAAAAAUAAGGAUCCCACUCUUGUUAGACCUAUAGGGAAAGUGGAAUCCUCAAGUUCUGACAUAACACACACAGUGUCAAAACACACCAAUUAUCACCAAAGAAUGAGCAGGGAAACUAUACUAUAGAAACCACUUGAAAAUAGAAUGAGAAAUUCACAGCAACCUGAUAUCCUAAAACAUUUUGUCAAAAAAAUAAAAAUAAAAAAAGACUGUGCCCUAUAAAGACCCACACAAAGGAGUCAAGGAAAAAUACAUCCUGGCAGAUGCAUAAAACCCAACACAAAACUAUAAGAAAUAUGAAAGCUGGAUAUGAUGACACACACCUAUAAUCUCAGCAUCUUGGAAGGCUGAGGCAGGAUGAUUGCAAAUUCAAAGCCAGUUUCAGCAACUUAGCAAGGCCCUAAGCAACUUGGUGAGACUCUGUCUCAAAAUAAAAACAACUUUUUUAGAAAAAGGGUUGGGGAUGUUGCUCAGUAGUUAAGUACCUCUGGGUUCAAUCACUAGUAUUGCUCCCUCCCCAAAAAAGAGAGAAAGUAUAAUAAAGGUAACAUGACAUCUUCUAAGGUUCAUAAUUCACCACCAACUGAUUCCAAAGAUAUUGAACUGGCAAAAUGCCAGAUAAAUAAUUUUAAAAUGUGACUAUAAAAAUUAUCAAUAAAUUCUAAGAGAAUACAGAAAAAUGCCAAAUGAUUUAGGAAAGUCACGAAAAGGUAUGAAUGAGAUAUUCAGCAAAGAGAUAUGGAUAAUGAAAAAGAACCAAACAGAAAUUUUGGAAAUGAAAGUCACAAGAAAUAAAAUAAGAUAUUCAGUGGAAAAAUCUCUCCAAUAGAGUGUACUAUGCAAAUGACAGAAUCUCAGAAAUGGGAAGCAUUCUAUACUCAAGAAUAUGAGUAUAGAAUAUUAUAUAUAUAUAUAUAUAUAUAUAUAUAUAUAUAUAUAUAUAUAUAUAUAUAUAUAUAUAUUCAUUCAUUCUAUGAAAUAGGAAAGCUGUAUUCUAUAUAUAUGGAAUAUUCUAUACACAUAUUCUUGAGUAUAGAAUGCUCAAGGUGUCUGGUCUUGAGCAUUCAGACAAUAUUAACAAAAAGAAAAUAAGUAACCAUGACCAGAAUAUACAGAAAAUCUGGGACAACAUGAAGAGAACAAAUAUUAGAAUCAAUAGAAUUUAAGAAGGUUAUGGGAUGCAGGCUAAUAGCAUGGAUAACCUACUCAGAGAAAUUGUAACAGAAAAAAAUCUUAAACCUUGAGAAUAAGAUGGACUUCCAGAUACAGGAGGUAUUCAGAUCCCCAAAAAGACAAAGACUGUGGACACCACAGCACAAAGGUUCUCCAACUAGAUCAAUCUUAUAUCUUUUUACAAUAUAUAGAGUUACAUGAAGAAAAGUAACACAGAGGGUGUAACCCACAAAUCCUAACAUAUGUGACACAACUGACAUAUCAACAGAAUCCCACUCUUGUUAGAACUAUAGGAAAAGUGGGAUCCUCAAGUUCUCAUGUAACACAUGGUAUCAAAACACAUCAAUCACUACCAAAGAAGAUAAAAAUAGAAUUCUACAGGACAGACAUAUUAGCAAGGAUGGAAUUUUAAAAGCCUCAAGAGAAAACAUAUUGUCAUAUUUAGAGGCAAAACAAUUAGAAUAACUUCUUAUUUCUUAGUAGAAGCUCUGAAAUCCAAGAGGGCUUAGAACAUAUCAUACCAAAUUAACUGUCAGCCAAGAUUGCUAUAUCCAAUGAAACUAUCCUUUAGAAUUGAAGAAGAACUAAAACCCCCCUAAGAUAAGCAUAAACUGAAAGAAUCCAUGAAUCCUAAGCUAGAACUACAAAAAGUACUUAAAUACUACACAAAGGAAAAAAAAAUUAAAUACAUAUUCCAGAAUUCACAAAUAGAUUGAUCACAUAUGAAGAGAAGUGAAGAAAAUGAGAAACAGGACCAAAGUAAACAUUAGAAAUAAAUCAAAAUGGCAAGAUUUAAUAAACAUCUCUUUAUGCUAUCAUUGAAUAUAAAUAGUCUCAACUAUCCAACUAAAAAACAUGGACUGGCAGAAUGGAUUAAUACCCCAUUAUUAUUUUUUUUUUGUAAGAGAUUCAUCUUACAGUCAAAGACAUAUACUGGCUAAAAGUGAAAAGAUGGAAAAUAAUAUACCAUACAAAUGGAGCCCCAAUAAUAUUGAGUGCACCAACACUCCUAUCUCACCAAUAGAUGGAUCAUCCAGACACACACACACAGUAAAGAUUCUUUACACAUGAAAAUAUUAUUUAUCAAAUGAACUUAACAGAAAUUUCUAUAGAGUAUUUCAUUUAACAACAGCCAAAUUCACUUUCUUCUCAGCUGUUCAUGGUACCUUAUUCAAAAGAGAACAUAUUUUGGCCACAAAGAAAUUCAUAGCAAAUAUGAAGGAAAAAAUUGAUAUAUAACUCCUUUCAUUGUAUCAGAUCAUAAUGGGAAAAAUUAGAAAUCGGCACCAAGAAAAACUACAGAAACUACAUAAGUUCCUGGAGAUUGAAUAUACAUUUUCGAACAAUGAUUGGAUGAUAGAAGAAAUCAGGUAAAAACUAAAAACUUUUUAGAUUCAAAUGAGAAAGGUUAUAUAGUAUACCAAAAUUUUUAGGAUAUGAUGAAGGCAGUUCUAAGAGGAGAGUUUACAUCUAUGAGUGGCUGCAUAAGAAAACUAGAAAUUCCCAAUUAAGCCACCUAAUGAUGUGUCUCAAGGACCUAGAAAAACAAGAAUCCUGAAACUAGUAUAAGAAAGGAAAUAAUUAAGAUCAGAGCCAAAAUCAAUGAAAUAGAGAAUAAAUAACACAAAGAAUUAAUGAAAUUAAGUGUUGGCUCUGUGAAAAAAUAAAGUAUAUUGAUAAACUCUAAUCCAAACUAAACAAACAAAAAAAAUUAGAUAGAAUUCUCAAAUUAGCACCAUAGACAUCACAGAACUCCAGAGGAUCAUUAGGGGCUAUUUUAAAAACUGAUUCACCAAUAAAUUGAAAAAUCUAAAAAAAGUCUACAUUUCAAGAUGAAUAUGGUCUAUCAAAAUUAACCAAGAGGAUACAGAAAACCUAAAUGGAUCAAUAGCAAGCAGGGAGAUUGAAGCAGUAAUUACAGUUCUUCCAGGUCAAAGUACUGAAUCCUUCUGCCAAAACCAGAAGCCUUUAUGUUAUCCAUGCUACUUUCCUCCCUUGAUUAGUGUUUAGUCAUUAAGUCUCCUCACAUUUACAUAAAAUUUAAGUCUUUCACCUUUCCAAUUCUCUCAUAUUUCUCUCAUAUACACCCCCACUCAAAUUUUUCAGGCCCACCAUUCUUUCUUACUUCCACACCAAAUUCUAGUCCUUUCCUGCCCUUAUUAAUCUUUUUUUUUUUAAUUUUUAAAAUUUGUUUUAAUUAGUUAUACAUGACAAUAGAAUGCAUUUAUGCACUUUGCUAUAUCAUACGUAGAUGGGAUAUAAUUUCUCAUUUUUCUGAGUGUACAUGUUACAGAAUCAUAUUGGUCAUGUAGUCACAUAUAUACAUACAGUAAUAAUGUCUGCUUCAUUCUACUAUUCCUCCUAUCCCUACCUCCCCUCCCCUCCCAUCACUUCCCUCUAACUAAUCUAAGGUAUCACUAUUCUUCUCUAGUGCCCCCACCCUCCAUCUUAUUGUGAAUUAGCAUCUGCAUAUUAGAGAAAAACAUUUACUGGCGUAUUUCACUCUUCUUUAAAGCUGAGUAAUAUCCCAUUGAGUAUAUGUUUCAUAUAUAUAUAUAUAUAUAUAUAUAUAUAUAUAUAUAUAUAUAUAUAUAUAUAUAUAUAUUAAUCCAUUCAUCAAUUACGGGACACCUAGGUUGGUCCCAUAGUCUAGCUAUUGUGAAUUGAGCUGCAAUAAAUAUUAAUGUGGCUAUGUCUCAUAGUUCCAAUUAAGCCACCUAAUGAUGUGGCUGAUUUUAAGUCCUUUGGGUAUAAACCAAGUAGUGAGAUAGCUAGGUCAAAUGGAGAUUUCAUUCCAAGUUUUCUGAGGAAUCUCCAUACUGCUUUCCAGAGUGGUUGCACCAAUUUGCAGUCCCACCAGCAAUGUAUGUGUGUAUGUUUUUCACCACAUCAUUCAUGCCAACAUUUAUUGUUGCCUGUAUUCUUGAUGAUUGCCAUUGUGACAGGAGUGAGAUGAAUUCUUAGAGUAGUUUUAAUUUGUAUUUCUCUAAUUGCUAGAGAUGUUGAACACUGUUUCAUGUAUUUGUUGAUCAAUUGUAUUUCUUCUUCUGUGAAGUGUCUGUUCAGUUCCUUAGCCUAUUUAUUGAUUGGGUUAUUUGUUUUUCUGGUGUUAAGUUUUUUGAGUUCUUUAUAUAUCCUAGAGAUUAAUACUUUAUCAAAGGUGCAUGUGGUAAAGAUUUUCUCUCAAUAUGCAGGCUCUUUCCUCUUGUUACUAAUUAUUUCCUUUGCUGAGGAGAAACUUUUUAAUUUGAAUCCAUCCCAUUUAUUGAUUCAUGAUUUAACUUCUUGAACUUUGGGGGUCUUGUUAUUAAUCUUUAGGUAACCCCCUUACUCAGAGAAUUUAUUUCUGCACAUAAUUAAGGGACUCAUCUAUAUUUCUACAACAUCCUGAACUUAGGUUGUUGAUAUCAUAAGUAUAAUUGCCUCUGUCACAAAAUUGUAAGCUCUUUAUUUCUCACCUUCACACUUAUAUCCCAUUGUCCAAUCCCAAGCCUGACACAAGUAGAUACUUAAUAAAUAUUUGACGGGCAAAUGAAUGAGCUAUUGUUUUAGUCAGCUUUUGUGUCACUGUGACCAAAAUACCUAAUAAGAACAACUUAAGAGGAGAAAAAGUUCAUUUGAGGCUCAUGGUUUCAGGGGUCUCAAUCCAUAGAUGGCUCACUCCAUUUCUCUGGGUCCAAGCUAUGGCAGCACAUUUUGAGGGAAGGGCUCUGUAGAGGAAAGCUGCUCAACUCAUGGCUGUGUCAGAAAGCACAGGAGGUUGAGGCCACAGGUAAGAUGCACCCUGCCAGGGUACACCCCCAGUGAUUCAUCUCCUCUAGGAAUGUCCUACCUGCCUGCUGUUAUUACAUAAUCAAUUUAAAAUAAGAUGGACUUAUUAAGUUAUAACUCUCAUAAACUAAUCUUUCACCUCUGAAUAUUAUUGCUAUUAAAUAUGGAGUAUGACAAACCCCCAAAUAGUGAAGUCUGAGAAAAGGGGAGUGAGAAAGAAAGCCAUACACUGGGAGCAUUGAUCCUUUCCAGUACAUAAAGAAUCAAUUUCCCAGGAAUAAAACAAACCCUGGGAGGAUGUGUCCAUCAAACCUAGAAAAGCAAUCUCUGGCAAGUGGCCAAAGCAUUAAUCCUUCCCUAAUCAAAUCCCUUCCAGAUACCAACCACUGACCCCAGGUCCUCCAUUUUUUCCAGUAAGAUAAAUCCUAGAGAUUGACUACUAACCCCAGACUCCCUCCCAUUUUACCCAGUAAAACAGACCCCAAAUUUCUGAGUUCACAAGCUGAUAGUCUUAUUAAUUAAGUUACCUCUCAGUAUAACCCAUAUAAGUUCAGUCCCCUCCUUUGUUCAGUGGCUCAUUUUCUGUGGUGAGCCGCUUCUGCCGUUUCUGCAGAUUAUGGUCGCCAUUACAAGAUGACGCUGGCUCCGCUGUGGUCUGUGACAAACAACUCCUUAUCUGGGAGAGUUGGCACAUGAUUUUUCACCACCCUGUGAGAAAGCUCCACGCGGCAGCUUUGCAUUGGGGCUUGGGAUGCUUUAUUAAGGCUGGGAGGGGCAUCAGAGAGAGAGAAGAAGAAAUAUCAAGGGCCUGAAUAAACUGCUGAAAGAAGAUUCCUGAGUUGCGUCUUCCUUGCGGGCAAGGGGUCGCGACAAUUUUCCACCAGGAGAAUGGGUCCACCAGAACCAUGACUCUAUUCCUGAAUAAAGGCUUUUGGCUGAUUUGUGAAGUUUGUGUCAGCCUGGUCUCUUUGUGCUAACAAUUGCAUUAACAGGAGAUUUGGAGGUAUACCUCAUAUCCAAAGCAUAACAUUCCAUUUCUGUUUCCCAAAAGCUCAUAUCCAUCUCACAAUGCAAAAUGCAUUUCUUUCAUCUCCAGUAUUCCCCUGGUUUUAGCUUUCCCCCAUCCAUAUUCUCCUAUGAGAACUAAGACAAACUUUUGGUGUUAUGCUCAAAUUCAGGACCCCCAAAAGACAACCAGAGACCAAGAUCGAUGUAAGCAGCAAAGAGGUGUUUAUUGCGAGCUAGCUCGGUCCUCCAUGUGCGCACACACAGCAACUAGUGACCCUGAGAGGCCCUGAGCCCAGGGUUUGCAGCAGUUUUAUACACUCUUUGGGGAAGGCAGGGACUUCACAUACAUCAUAGCAUCUCUUAGGAAAUCAUCACACACCGUGGGAAAAUCAAACAACUCUCUCAUAAACUAAUCAACUCUUAACAUUGACUAGCACAUUCACUGGCGGGAACAAGUUGGGUAAGGGUGAUUGGCUAGUAAAAGGGGGAUUCGUUUGAACAGAUUGGUUUAAGCCAUGAGGGGUAUUCAUGCUGAACUACAUGGUUUGCCAACAUAUUAUCAACCACCACAAACUACUGGGAGGGUCGUCUGGCAUCCCAGGUAUUUCCCUGUCUCAUGCUGAUUGGUGACUGCUAGGGGGUUGCUAAGGGUCCCCACCAAGCCUGACUGUGUCAGGGACACCUGGCACAGCAGAUCUCUCCUGUUAUUUGUAGAUAAACAACUCAGCAGGGUGUGUAUGUGCCUAGGAG
This 25987-nucleotide long non-coding RNA is filed under the name Marmota monax (woodchuck). The record is from RNAcentral. Lineage: Eukaryota; Metazoa; Chordata; Mammalia; Rodentia; Sciuridae.